GGACGAACGCUGGCGGCGUGCUUAACACAUGCAAGUCGAACGGAAAGGCCCUGCUUUUGUGGGGUGCUCGAGUGGCGAACGGGUGAGUAACACGUGAGUAACCUGCCCUUGACUUUGGGAUAACUUCAGGAAACUGGGGCUAAUACCGGAUAGGAGCUCCUGCUGCAUGGUGGGGGUUGGAAAGUUUCGGCGGUUGGGGAUGGACUCGCGGCUUAUCAGCUUGUUGGUGGGGGAGUGGCUUACCAAGGCUUUGACGGGUAGCCGGCAUGAGAGGGUGACCGGAGACAUGGGGAGUGAGAGAAGGGGGAGAGUCCGACGGGAGGAAGAAGUGGGGAAGAGGGCACAAGGGGGGGAAGCCGGAUGCAGAAAGGGCGCGUGAGGGAGGAAGGGGGGCGGGGUGGAAAAAGAUGGCGCCGGGGAAGAAGCGGGAGGGACGGGAAGGGGGAAAGAAGCACCGGCCAACGACGUG
This 469-nucleotide ribosomal RNA is filed under the name uncultured bacterium. RNAcentral describes it as "partial 16S ribosomal RNA". The stretch from base 13 to 375 matches the Rfam family "Bacterial small subunit ribosomal RNA", at positions 39 to 400 of the family's 1533-position model. The record is from RNAcentral.